RNAcentral lists this ribosomal RNA (1696 nucleotides) under Shigella flexneri. Its description in RNAcentral is "partial 23S ribosomal RNA". It matches the Rfam family "Bacterial large subunit ribosomal RNA", at positions 1261 to 2925 of the family's 2925-position model. The record is from RNAcentral. Lineage: Bacteria; Pseudomonadati; Pseudomonadota; Gammaproteobacteria; Enterobacterales; Enterobacteriaceae.
CUGUGAGGUAUGCUGGAGGUAUCAGAAGUGCGAAUGCUGACAUAAGUAACGAUAAAGCGGGUGAAAAGCCCGCUCGCCGGAAGACCAAGGGUUCCUGUCCAACGUUAAUCGGGGCAGGGUGAGUCGACCCCUAAGGCGAGGCCGAAAGGCGUAGUCGAUGGGAAACAGGUUAAUAUUCCUGUACUUGGUGUUACUGCGAAGGGGGGACGGAGAAGGCUAUGUUGGCCGGGCGACGGUUGUCCCGGUUUAAGCGUGUAGGCUGGUUUUCCAGGCAAAUCCGGAAAAUCAAGGCCGAGGCGUGAUGACGAGGCACUACGGUGCUGAAGCAACAAAUGCCCUGCUUCCAGGAAAAGCCUCUAAGCAUCAGGUAACAUCAAAUCGUACCCCAAACCGACACAGGUGGUCAGGUAGAGAAUACCAAGGCGCUUGAGAGAACUCGGGUGAAGGAACUAGGCAAAAUGGUGCCGUAACUUCGGGAGAAGGCACGCUGAUACGUAGGUGAAGCGACUUGCUCGUGGAGCUGAAAUCAGUCGAAGAUACCAGCUGGCUGCAACUGUUUAUUAAAAACACAGCACUGUGCAAACACGAAAGUGGACGUAUACGGUGUGACGCCUGCCCGGUGCCGGAAGGUUAAUUGAUGGGGUUAGCGCAAGCGAAGCUCUUGAUCGAAGCCCCGGUAAACGGCGGCCGUAACUAUAACGGUCCUAAGGUAGCGAAAUUCCUUGUCGGGUAAGUUCCGACCUGCACGAAUGGCGUAAUGAUGGCCAGGCUGUCUCCACCCGAGACUCAGUGAAAUUGAACUCGCUGUGAAGAUGCAGUGUACCCGCGGCAAGACGGAAAGACCCCGUGAACCUUUACUAUAGCUUGACACUGAACAUUGAGCCUUGAUGUGUAGGAUAGGUGGGAGGCUUUGAAGUGUGGACGCCAGUCUGCAUGGAGCCGACCUUGAAAUACCACCCUUUAAUGUUUGAUGUUCUAACGUGGACCCGUAAUCCGGGUUGCGGACAGUGUCUGGUGGGUAGUUUGACUGGGGCGGUCUCCUCCUAAAGAGUAACGGAGGAGCACGAAGGUUGGCUAAUCCUGGUCGGACAUCAGGAGGUUAGUGCAAUGGCAUAAGCCAGCUUGACUGCGAGCGUGACGGCGCGAGCAGGUGCGAAAGCAGGUCAUAGUGAUCCGGUGGUUCUGAAUGGAAGGGCCAUCGCUCAACGGAUAAAAGGUACUCCGGGGAUAACAGGCUGAUACCGCCCAAGAGUUCAUAUCGACGGCGGUGUUUGGCACCUCGAUGUCGGCUCAUCACAUCCUGGGGCUGAAGUAGGUCCCAAGGGUAUGGCUGUUCGCCAUUUAAAGUGGUACGCGAGCUGGGUUUAGAACGUCGUGAGACAGUUCGGUCCCUAUCUGCCGUGGGCGCUGGAGAACUGAGGGGGGCUGCUCCUAGUACGAGAGGACCGGAGUGGACGCAUCACUGGUGUUCGGGUUGUCAUGCCAAUGGCACUGCCCGGUAGCUAAAUGCGGAAGAGAUAAGUGCUGAAAGCAUCUAAGCACGAAACUUGCCCCGAGAUGAGUUCUCCCUGACCCUUUAAGGGUCCUGAAGGAACGUUGAAGACGACGACGUUGAUAGGCCGGGUGUGUAAGCGCAGCGAUGCGUUGAGCUAACCGGUACUAAUGAACCGUGAGGCUUAACCUUACAACGCCGAAG